UGGGGCGUGGUGCAAUGGCAGCACAGCGGACUUUGGAUCCGUAUAUCCUGGUUCGAAUCCGGGCGCCCCAG
Molecule: transfer RNA, 71 nt
Filed under: Pseudomonadota bacterium
Lineage: Bacteria; Pseudomonadati; Pseudomonadota
Also listed under: 2 other names
Description: tRNA-Gln
Rfam family: tRNA
About the family: Transfer RNA (tRNA) molecules are approximately 80 nucleotides in length. Their secondary structure includes four short double-helical elements and three loops (D, anti-codon, and T loops).
Source: RNAcentral